RNAcentral lists this non-coding RNA (91 nucleotides) under Spirochaetota bacterium. RNAcentral's name for it is "Spirochaetes bacterium TPP sequence". It matches the Rfam family "TPP riboswitch aptamer (THI element)". From Rfam's summary of the family: Vitamin B(1) in its active form thiamin pyrophosphate (TPP) is an essential coenzyme that is synthesised by coupling of pyrimidine and thiazole moieties in bacteria. The previously detected thiamin-regulatory element, thi box was extended, resulting in a new, highly conserved RNA secondary structure, the THI element, which is widely distributed in eubacteria and also occurs in some archaea. Analysis of operon structures identified a large number of new candidate thiamin-regulated genes, mostly transporters, in various prokaryotic organisms. Lineage: Bacteria; Pseudomonadati; Spirochaetota. The record is from RNAcentral.
UUACAUUAACAGGGGUGGUGAUUAGCCUGAGAUUAUACCCUUUGAACCUGAUCCGGGUAAUGCCGGCGGAGGGAGCAGAUGGUUAUUUCAC